AUGCCACCUUCCGUGCACAACACAGAAGGCCUGCCGUUCAUGAAGCAUGGUUGUGUCUUCAGUGCGCACCGCCGGAUGAACGACAUGCUGGGACACACUAUCCCUGAUUUAUCCCGCUUCAGCUUGGUUGCGUCUCCAUCGUGUGGAACCGGACUAGAAAGCUGCGACAAUGAUUCCCGUUGCCCACCGCUAUGGAUCGUGCCAUCCAUGAAGAACACCUGGGACUGGAACCUAGAGGAGGACAUCAGACGCAAAUGCGCUGGCCUUCAUGAUUCCAGGACCUGGAAUCAUACCAGCCGAUGGUCGAAGAAGGACUGGCCGGUGUUGCCGGCUGGCGUCAAGUUCGAUCCCACAGAUCAGGAGCUGAUCGAGCACCUUGAGGCCAAAGUGAGUGCUGACAGCGCAAGAUUUCAGUCUCUCAUCGAUUUGUUCAUACCAACCAUCGACAGCGAGCAUGGCAUAUGCUACACCCACCCUGAGAAACUUCCAUCAAAAAAGGUUCUGGUGCUGCACACCAACAAGAACUUCGACCAGCAGAGGACCAACUGGGUGAUGCACCAGUACCACCUCGGGGACCUGGAGCAAGAGAAGGAGCGGGAGCUGGUCCUCUGCAAGAUUUUCUACCAGACGAACACCAGGGCCAGGAGUAAAAAGAUUAUAAGUUGA
This 666-nucleotide ribosomal RNA is filed under the name Triticum aestivum (bread wheat). RNAcentral's name for it is "partial small subunit ribosomal RNA". Lineage: Eukaryota; Viridiplantae; Streptophyta; Magnoliopsida; Poales; Poaceae. The record is from RNAcentral.